UUCGACGGUUAUAAAACAAAAAAUCAUGAUUUAACGGUUAUUUUAACUCCGAUUUUGAUGAUUUUUUACAACUACACUCCUUGACCCUAUAGGAAUACAAUGAAAGAAUUUGAUCGUCAAUUCAAAAUAUUUACACAAGUGGAUACCACAAAAUCUUAUGUUAUACUUAAUGAAAGUAUAGAUAAAUUCCAAGUGUUAAUGA
Molecule: long non-coding RNA, 202 nt
Filed under: Malus domestica (apple)
Lineage: Eukaryota; Viridiplantae; Streptophyta; Magnoliopsida; Rosales; Rosaceae
Description: long non-coding RNA (MDOM_LNC000553)
Source: RNAcentral